CCACAAAUUAGGCAAUAAGUAUAUAUCAAAUUAAAAGAGAUUCUUACCUAAUAUUCGGCGUCACGUGAACCACGUUAUCAAGUUCGGUCGAACGUUGGAUGGCAGGACGACUCACGGGCGGCAGUUCAAGAUGACGUGCUGCUCAAAGAUGCUGCCUCGCUCGGUAAGCAACAGCAAAUUUCGAGUGGUGACUGAUGCUUCGCUGAUUCAGCUUAGCAAAGUGGACGAGGAUGACCAGCACAGCAGGGGACGUCCACCAGAAGACUUGAACAGCAAAAAGGAGGGUUGUUGGCGUGAAGAUUUGAACGUCCAGGGCCGGUCACCAAUGUAACUCAGAUGUGCGCAAGUAACACUGGGACUCGCGGGAACCUGAAAAUAAAGCACAAAAGAUCGCCAACUCGGUGGGGUAGCGUUCAACGAUGAGAAUCGACGAGCCAGGGAGCAACGGCGCCAGCACACAGCAACAACGAAACCAAAGCAGCAGCGUAGUCAAGCACAGCAGCUCGAACACGAUUGACUUUUCAGGCGGCACGCGUGCAAGGAACAGCUUGGUUGUUGUCGAUGGCUCAACAGGGCAACAACACGAUACGGUGAUGUUGGUGACAGAGGCACGGGCACAGGUCUGGCUGUGAAGUGGGCACCGGUUUGGACGAUCACCUCGGCCAAGAGCUGGUCGAGGUUUCCCUCUCUCUGCUCUCUCUCAUGUGUGUUCUCUGUAUAUUUCGGAGUCGCCCCCCUUUUGUCCCGUAAUGAGUCAAUUUAUAUUGAAAGGGCGUAAACCAAUGAGGAAAGAAAGCAUAUUCUGUUUCCUUCUGGGCAUGCGUUGAAAUAUAUUUUCUUUGCUUUCCUCUUUAUUGAUCGAAUGCCGAUAUAUAUUUUUUCGCAAAUCCAUGCCCGCAAUGCAGAACGUGCCCAACAUUCCCUUCUCAUGCUGAUCUUUCGAAUUUCCUUUGUGCAUAUUAUACGAAUCGGACCAGAUAAAUUCUUUCCUCUUAAAAUAAUGAUGGUCAAUUUCUUGCUCCCCACGUUGACCGAAUUAUGGCUAAACGCAUAAUUUUCCUUCACGUGGAUGGGCUUCUCCAUGUGCGAAUCGGUGGCCGCUUACACGCUGUCCUUCCUUUGCAUUCGUUCCCUUAAAUGCACAAAUAUGUCGGUGCCAAUAUGCUGGAAAUUUCUUAAUCAGCUUUAACGAUUUAGGGCACCCAUGUAAAUGUAAUAUCAAUCACCACGGAGGAAUUACUCACUUAUCCAAAGUUUAAAGCCAUCCAUUCACCACCGGCCCAAGAAAUAUGCAAUUAAAUGAAAU
Molecule: long non-coding RNA, 1306 nt
Filed under: Eucalyptus grandis
Lineage: Eukaryota; Viridiplantae; Streptophyta; Magnoliopsida; Myrtales; Myrtaceae
Description: long non-coding RNA (EGRA_LNC001861)
Source: RNAcentral